RNAcentral lists this ribosomal RNA (253 nucleotides) under uncultured bacterium. RNAcentral's name for it is "partial 16S ribosomal RNA". It matches the Rfam family "Bacterial small subunit ribosomal RNA", at positions 524 to 776 of the family's 1533-position model. The record is from RNAcentral.
UACGGAGGGGGCAAGCGUUGUUCGGAAUCAUUGGGCGUAAAGGGCGCGUAGGCGGCCGGCCAAGUCGGGUGUGAAAUCCCUCGGCUCAACCGAGGAACUGCACUCGAUACUGGCUGGCUAGAGUCCGGGAGGGGAUGGUGGAAUUCCCAGUGUAGCGGUGAAAUGCGUAGAUAUUGGGAGGAACACCGGUGGCGAAGGCGGCAUCCUGGACCGGUAUUGACGCUGAGGAGCGAAAGCCAGGGGAGCAAACGGG